Cnephaeus nilssonii (northern bat) is the source of this 74-nucleotide non-coding RNA. Lineage: Eukaryota; Metazoa; Chordata; Mammalia; Chiroptera; Vespertilionidae. The record is from the annotation of a GenBank genome assembly.
AGCCGUUUGGCUAAGAGGAUAGAGUGUCAGCCUGCGAACUGAAGGGUCCCUGGUUUGAUUCCCGAAAAAGGUCA